AGGGAAUCUUCCGCAAUGGACGAAAGUCUGACGGAGCAACGCCGCGCGAGUGAUGAAGGUUUUCGGAUCGUAAAGCUCUGUUGCCAGGGAAGAACGUCCGUUAGAGUAACUGCCAGGAGAGUGACGGUACCUGAGAAGAAAGCCCCGGCUAACUACGUGCCAGCAGCCGCGGUAAUACGUAGGGGGCAAGCGUUGUCCGGAAUUAUUGGGCGUAAAGCGCGCGCAGGCGGCUGUUUAAGUCUGGUGUUUAAUCCUGGGGCUCAACUCCGGGUCGCACUGGAAACUGGACGGCUUGAGUGCAGAAGAGGAGAGUGGAAUUCCACGUGUAGCGGUGAAAUGCGUAGAGAUGUGGAGGAACACCAGUGGCGAAGGCGACUCUCUGGGCUGUAACUGACGCUGAGGCGCGAAAGCGUGGGGAGCAAAC
RNAcentral lists this ribosomal RNA (424 nucleotides) under uncultured bacterium. RNAcentral's name for it is "bacterial SSU rRNA". It matches the Rfam family "Bacterial small subunit ribosomal RNA", at positions 356 to 773 of the family's 1533-position model. The record is from RNAcentral.